AGAGGCCCUCCACGGCCUGGGUGGAAUGUUUGUCUCAUCACCAUGGUGACAAAGCAAGCAUUCUGCCAGGCCGCUCACGCUGCCCAC
Molecule: non-coding RNA, 87 nt
Organism: Myotis brandtii (Brandt's bat)
Lineage: Eukaryota; Metazoa; Chordata; Mammalia; Chiroptera; Vespertilionidae
Source: Rfam